UUUCACAGGUUGUGUUAAACAUAUCUUCUAAUUGAAAACACAAUGAAAUCUUUGUUCUGGACAGCACUCAUGUAUGUGUGUCUUGCACUUCUCACCAUGAAGCAUUUUGUCGUAACUCAACGUGCAGUCAGACCCAACGAUGUCACUGUCACCAGCGACGAUGAGCCUAGCGAGAGGGAUGGGAAUGAAUACAUCGGAGUUGUUCAAACAACGGAGAAUCAAAAUAGUGGGUACUGGGGGCGAAAGAAAAGAUCUUUUAAAUCGGAUGGGGAUGACAUGAUGACAUGAUGAAUAAAAAAACUGCAGCAGCUUUUGACAUAUAUUGAAAUAUUUUGCUUGUGCUCAAAAACACUACAAAUGUGAUUGUUUGUACGUCUUUGCUUAUAUUUAUUUUUUCAUUCAACAAUUAAGUUUAUUGCGAGGAAAACAUUUCGACAUUCUUAUGUUUACUACAUGAAGGGAAUCUCCACAACUAUGUGAAAAACAUCACAUUUUGGCAUUGAAAUAUGAUAAUGACUCUAAAAUCUUCAAACUCUUUAUUAUUUACUCGAACGCUGGUAGAUGAAUUUCCUGUCACUUCCUAUCAGAAGAUAGUAAAUAUCUGGAAGAAUCCUUAUUUCGACGACAGUACAACAAGAGAGUGCAAUAAACUUUAAUUUCACAGAAAGGACAAUUUCCAGUUAUUUAAAAUUAUCGUUUCAUUUUUAAAAUAACGAGAAUACCAUAAAAGAGAUCCGAAAUUUUUAGAUUCGUUAAAUUAGUAUCUGCAGUUGUAUACCGCUAUUUCCUUAUAUUUUUCCUUUCAAGAAAUAAAGGCAUUAUUACGGUAAAA
Molecule: long non-coding RNA, 832 nt
Organism: Styela clava
Lineage: Eukaryota; Metazoa; Chordata; Ascidiacea; Stolidobranchia; Styelidae
Source: RefSeq, a predicted model, not a curated record